AUGAUGGACUAUAGGACAGGACUGCUGCUUUUAACUCUCUGCUGGGCAGGUGUUGAUGGUCAGACUCUGACAGAAUCUGAACCAGCGAUUAAAAGACCUGGAGAAUCCCACAGAUUGACCUGUACAACAUCUGGAUUCACACUUAGUAGCUACUGGAUGCACUGGAUCAGACAGGCUCCUGGAAAAGGACUGGAGUGGAUUGCUGCUGAUACUAGUAGUAGUAGCAACUACUACUCUCAGUCAUCAGUCCAAGGCCGGUUUACCAUCUCCAGAGACAACAGCAGAGAGCAGCUGUAUCUGCAGAUGAACAGUCUGAAGACUGAAGAUUCUGCUGUUUAUUAUUGUCCUCUGCAGGUGCAGACUGAGUCAAGUUCCCACCAUGACAGUUGUACAGAGUGUCCUCCUCUUGGCUCUCAUUUCAGCUGGUCAGGGCCAGUCCCUCACCUCCUCAGAGCCAGUGGUGAGCAGAGCUGGACAACCAGUCACUCUGUCCUGUAA
Molecule: non-coding RNA, 498 nt
Organism: Perca fluviatilis (European perch)
Lineage: Eukaryota; Metazoa; Chordata; Actinopteri; Perciformes; Percidae
Source: the annotation of a RefSeq genome assembly